RNAcentral lists this long non-coding RNA (302 nucleotides) under Setaria viridis. Its description in RNAcentral is "long non-coding RNA (SVIR_LNC005464)". Lineage: Eukaryota; Viridiplantae; Streptophyta; Magnoliopsida; Poales; Poaceae. The record is from RNAcentral.
GGGAGUAAGGAGCAGUAUUUAACAAAAUUUGACAGCGUGGACACUAGAGAAAUGUUUAGCCGCCGCCGCAACUCCGGCAGCCUCAUCGCUACUGUCGCGCCCACCGGAGGCCGCUGUCGUAGUAGGGGAGCAAAACCACGCGAGCCACGACGCCGCGGCCGCGAUGAAACCAGCUCCGAACUCCAUCUCCUUCUAUCUUCAACGCUACGUGUGUGAAUCAAAUUAUAUUAAAGGAACUUGGAUUUGAUCAGUGUCGCCAACCUAUCGUCGUCUAUCUGUGUUCUGCGCUUUCUUCUUCUGAC